AGAGGACCGGGAUGGACGCACCUCUGGCGCACCAGUUGUCAUGCCAAUGGCAUAGCUGGGCAGCUAAGUGCGGAUCGGAUAAACGCUGAAAGCAUCUAAGCGUGAAGCCGACUCCAAGAUGAGAUAUCCCUCAGCGCAAGCUGGAAAGGCCCCUUGAAGACUACAAGGUUGAUAGGCUGCGUGUGUAAGCACGGCAACGUGUUCAGCUUGGCAGUACUAAUAGGCCGAGAGCUUGACCAAUUGUUCUU
This 248-nucleotide ribosomal RNA is filed under the name Oscillospiraceae bacterium. RNAcentral's name for it is "partial 23S ribosomal RNA". It matches the Rfam family "Bacterial large subunit ribosomal RNA", at positions 2686 to 2925 of the family's 2925-position model. Lineage: Bacteria; Bacillati; Bacillota; Clostridia; Eubacteriales; Oscillospiraceae. The record is from RNAcentral.